Long non-coding RNA from Clupea harengus (Atlantic herring), 379 nucleotides. The record is from Ensembl. Lineage: Eukaryota; Metazoa; Chordata; Actinopteri; Clupeiformes; Clupeidae.
GUUUGGACUUCUUACUUUUUUUACUGACUACUUAUUGGGCAGAAACAUCCGGGCACAGGUGUUGAAUUUUCUUCAAAGAAGUUCUGAGCCAGUAAAAGUUCAAGUCUUGCUGUUGUCAAGUAAUGCUGACAUAAUGAAGGUUAAGAAAAAGAGAGGACAAAUGAUCCAUCCUUGUCAAGAGAUCUACAUUGAGACAAAUCCUUACUGUGAAAUCAACACACGCAAAGAUUACAGCCUUUUCACAGACCCACCUGGACUAGACGUGAUUCCUAACACGGCUAAGUAUGUUGAGUGCAGUCAAAACUUCCCUCCAGCAUUCACAGUACAUUGCAGGAGAAAGAAAGAGCUGAAGCUAAUCCUGAAGGAUAAAACAAGGGAA